GCCCGUACCGUAAACCGACACAGGUGGGUGGGAUGAGUAUUCUAAGGCGCGUGGAAGAACUCUCUUCAAGGAACUCUGCAAAAUAGCACCGUAUCUUCGGUAUAAGGUGUGCCUAACUUUGUGAAGGAUUUACUCCGUAAGCAUUGAAGGUUACAACAAAGAGUCCCUCCCGACUGUUUACCAAAAACACAGCACUCUGCUAACUCGUAAGAGGAUGUAUAGGGUGUGACGCCUGCCCGGUGCUCGAAGGUUAAUUGAUGACGUUAGCUCUGCGAAGCGUUUGAUCGAAGCCCGAGUAAACGGCGGCCGUAACUAUAACGGUCCUAAGGUAGCGAAAUUCCUUGUCGAUUAAAUAUCGACCUGCAUGAAUGGCGUAACGAGAUGGGAGCUGUCUCGAAGAGGGAUCCAGUGAAAUUGUAGUGGAGGUGAAAAUUCCUCCUACCCGCGGCAAGACGGAAAGACCCCGUGGACCUUUACUACAGCUUGACACUGCUAUUGGGAUAAAAAUGUGCAGGAUAGGUGGGAGGCUUUGAUCCAUAGACGCCAGUUUAUGGUGAGCCGUUGUUGAGAUACCACUCUUUUUUAUUCUGAUAGCUAACUAGCUUGAGUUAUCCUCAAGUAGGACAAUGUCUGGUGGGUAGUUUGACUGGGGCGGUCGCCUCCCAAAAUGUAACGGAGGCUUACAAAGGUUGGCUCAGAACGGUUGGAAAUCGUUCGCAGAGUAUAAAGGCAAAAGCCAGCUUAACUGCGAGACAUACACGUCAAGCAGGGACGAAAGUCGGUCUUAGUGAUCCGGUGGUUCUGUGUGGAAGGGCCAUCGCUCAAAGGAUAAAAGGUACCCCGGGGAUAACAGGCUGAUCUCCCCCAAGAGCUCACAUCGACGGGGAGGUUUGGCACCUCGAUGUCGGCUCAUCGCAUCCUGGGGCUGGAGCAGGUCCCAAGGGUAUGGCUGUUCGCCAUUUAAAGCGGUACGCGAGCUGGGUUCAGAACGUCGUGAGACAGUUCGGUCCCUAUCUGCCGUGGGCGUAAGAAGAUUGAGGAGAGUUGACCCUAGUACGAGAGGACCGGGUUGAACCGACCACUGGUGUACCGGUUGUUCUGCCAAGAGCACCGCCGGGUAGCUAAGUCGGGAUGCGAUAAGAGCUGAAAGCAUCUAAGCUCGAAGCCGACUCCAAGAUGAAUCUUCUUUUAAGAGCUCUAGUAGACUACUAGUUUGAUAGGCCGGAUGUGUAAUGGAUGAAAGUCCUUUAGCUGACCGGUACUAAUAGCUCGUUUGCUUAUCUUU
RNAcentral lists this ribosomal RNA (1285 nucleotides) under human oral metagenome. RNAcentral describes it as "bacterial LSU rRNA". It matches the Rfam family "Bacterial large subunit ribosomal RNA", at positions 1640 to 2925 of the family's 2925-position model. RNAcentral also lists the same sequence under 1 other name. The record is from RNAcentral.